This 468-nucleotide ribosomal RNA is filed under the name uncultured bacterium. RNAcentral's name for it is "partial 16S ribosomal RNA". It matches the Rfam family "Bacterial small subunit ribosomal RNA", at positions 28 to 507 of the family's 1533-position model. The record is from RNAcentral.
GACGUACGCUGGCGGCGUGCUUAACACAUGCAAGUCGAACGGAAAGGCCCUGCUUUUGUGGGGUGCUCGAGUGGCGAACGGGUGAGUAACACGUGAGUAACCUGCCCUUGACUUUGGGAUAACUUCAGGAAACUGGGGCUAAUACCGGAUAGGAGCUCCUGCUGCAUGGUGGGGGUUGGAAAGUUUCGGCGGUUGGGGAUGGACUCGCGGCUUAUCAGCUUGUUGGUGGGGUAGUGGCUUACCAAGGCUUUGACGGGUAGCCGGCCUGAGAGGGUGACCGGCCACAUUGGGACUGAGAUACGGCCCAGACUCCUACGGGAGGCAGCAGUGGGGAAUAUUGCACAAUGGGCGGGAGCCUGAUGCAGCAACGCCGCGUGCGGGAUGACGGCCUUCGGGUUGUAAACCGCUUUCGCCUGUGACGAAGCGUGAGUGACGGUAAUGGGUAAAGAAGCACCGGCUAACUACGUG